RNAcentral lists this ribosomal RNA (851 nucleotides) under uncultured bacterium. RNAcentral's name for it is "bacterial SSU rRNA". It matches the Rfam family "Bacterial small subunit ribosomal RNA", at positions 52 to 893 of the family's 1533-position model. The record is from RNAcentral.
CACAUGCAAGUCGAGGGGAAACGACAUCGAAAGCUUGCUUUUGAUGGGCGUCGACCGGCGCACGGGUGAGUAACGCGUAUCCAACCUGCCCACCACUUGGGGAUAACCUUGCGAAAGUAAGACUAAUACCCAAUGAUAUCUCUAGAAGACAUCUGAAGGAGAUUAAAGAUUUAUCGGUGAUGGAUGGGGAUGCGUCUGAUUAGCUUGUUGGCGGGGUAACGGCCCACCAAGGCGACGAUCAGUAGGGGUUCUGAGAGGAAGGUCCCCCACAUUGGAACUGAGACACGGUCCAAACUCCUACGGGAGGCAGCAGUGAGGAAUAUUGGUCAAUGGACGAGAGUCUGAACCAGCCAAGUAGCGUGCAGGAUGACGGCCCUAUGGGUUGUAAACUGCUUUUAUAAGGGAAUAAAGUGAGUCUCGUGAGGCUUUUUGCAUGUACCUUAUGAAUAAGGACCGGCUAAUUCCGUGCCAGCAGCCGCGGUAAUACGGAAGGUCCGGGCGUUAUCCGGAUUUAUUGGGUUUAAAGGGAGCGUAGGCCGGAGAUUAAGCGUGUUGUGAAAUGUAGGUGCUCAACAUCUGCACUGCAGCGCGAACUGGUUUCCUUGAGUACGCACAAAGUGGGCGGAAUUCGUGGUGUAGCGGUGAAAUGCUUAGAUAUCACGAAGAACUCCGAUUGCGAAGGCAGCUCACUGGAGCGCAACUGACGCUGAAGCUCGAAAGUGCGGGUAUCGAACAGGAUUAGAUACCCUGGUAGUCCGCACGGUAAACGAUGGAUGCCCGCUGUUGGUCUGAAUAGGUCAGCGGCCAAGCGAAAGCAUUAAGCAUCCCACCUGGGGAGUACGCCGGCAACG